This is a long non-coding RNA of Equus caballus (horse), 2108 nucleotides long. Lineage: Eukaryota; Metazoa; Chordata; Mammalia; Perissodactyla; Equidae. The record is from Ensembl.
GGACUGGGCGUUAGAGUGGUAUCCACAAUGCCUCUGACUUGUGAAUUUUCCAGCCUGACUGAUGGGAACAGAAACUCUAACCAUCCCGUGUAAACUUCACGUUCUGUUCCUCUAAUCCUUUCAGGUAGUUUUUCCCCUCAUCUCCGCGAAUUUCCUCACAGGCACCUGAUGAUGAGAACUCUGCUGAGUACGGUGCACAGAGCAGGAAUGACUGUGUCCACUGACCUGUGAUGAGGACCCCGAGGCUCUGAGAAGUGGACUGGCCUGCUAGCCCUGACUCGCUGUGGACUCUGGCCCCAGGCUCCAACUUCAGGGCACUUUCUGCUGGAGCAGCAUCCUCAGAUGAGAACACGGAGGCCCAGAGAGAGAAAGUUUCUUGCCCACACCAAGCAAGGAUGUGGCAGAGCUAAGAGCAGAGCCAGGAGGUCUGGCUCCAAGGCCAGCCUGAUUCCUCGUGGGGCUCACUCUGCUUGGCUGGGAUACAGAUGACAACACUGAGGCUCCAAGAGGUUGAGUACUUGCUCCAGAUCACACCAUGGCUCAUACCUGUAGAGCCAGGAUUCUACAGCAGGUCUGUGUGACUCCAGCACUUACCCCACAGUCCCAAGCCGUCUCUAACAAAGGACAGCAGCUUCUCUUUCAUCCUGACAGUCCCAGCCAAGGCAAACCAACAAAAACAACGUCUGAAGGAAAGAAAACUUGGAGUGAAAACCCUGAAGCUCUUCAAGUUCACUGUCAGGGCAGUGAACAGCCUCACCCUUCAGUGGGUUCUCCCUGAAUUCUGCACCUCCAGCUAUUGCCAUAUUCCUUUCCCUUCUUUCAUAGCUAGCGGUCCAGGGAAAAACUCGUUGACACCAUUGUCUCUGCUUCUUCACUGUCUUCUCAUUUCUCACCCUAGUGCAACCCGGCUCUGUCCCCACCUCUCCGACGCAAGCAUCACCAGGGGUCCUAAUGCAAAUCCAAUGGGCACUCGUUGGACCUGUUCAUCCUGGACCUCACCGUAGCCAGUGACUCUGCUGACCAGCUCCUCAUUCUUGAAACUCACUCUUUCCUGACUCCUUUAGCAAAUGCUUUGUGUGCUCCAUGUCACAUCCCCUUGGUCCUCCUAAUUUCAGGGCAACAGAGGAGGGCAGUUGUGUACCUGCUGCCUGUGUUUCAUCUCCACUGUGCUGAGGUCACUCUCCACCUCCCCGCCUCAGGGUGUCCUCAGAAGCCAGGCCCCUCCACUCAAAUGCAGGCACAACCAAAACAUGGAGGAGUCAACACCCCCAGGGGCAACCAUCAACCCAUGGAAAACGGGAGCUGGUGGACGAAAGCUCCAUCCUUGGGAGGGAGAUUUCUAAGGUAUGUUCUUCGCAGUCUCUCUCUUUGCUCCCUCACUUCAGCUUUCUGGACCACUUUGCAAAUCAACUACCUGCACCCAAGUCCUUGUCUAGGCUCUGCUCUGGGGGAGGCCUCAUUGUCUUGUAUUCCUUUACCUUCUGACCCAUUCAUUUUCUGUCUCUUCAUGAACUGCUCCUUUAAGGGCAAACCCUUCACUGGUAUUACUACCCAGCACCUCCACAAAGCCUGGCGGUGCCCUUCCACCCCGCACAUUAGCCACCACCUAGUCCCUCCACCGCCCCGGCCUCUGUCCAUGCUGCCCUCCUGCCUGCAGCACAAUUCCGUCUGUCCCGUAACCACCUGAGGAGCACCUGCUCACCUGGUAGCCCACAGACCAAGAAGUGCCCCUCCACAGAGCCUUUCCCAACCCUUCCCCACCACGAGCAACAGCCCCCCCAGCCCCCCUUGCAGGCGGGACUGGGUAAGGGGUGUUCCAUACAGCACCUACGGAGGGCCCUUCCACUGUGCGCUUGUCUCCUUUCACUGUAAUGUAGACUCCCUGAGAGCAAAGGCCGUGGAGUUCUGUCUGUGCCCCCAGGAGCCAGCACAGUCCUGGCCCAUGGUCCAUGCUCAAUAAAUGUGGGUAAAAGAACAAGCAUUCAAGCAAACCUCUUUGCUCCUCCCUCCUCACGCGUGCCGCACCCUGCAGGAUUUGGGCAGGAGUUAGGGCCCAUGGUAUGUGGCUUUCCCUGUACAGAGCUGGCCCAUUGUUGGCCUCAGCAGGG